UGUGAAAUGGUGCUUGGAAGCUGGGUGAAAAGACGAGACUAGUGAAGGCGGUUGAACGUUAGGAUUGGGCGCAAAUUGCGGUUUAAGUUGGAGUGCGGAGGCUUCGCUGGUCAGGUUGGUCGACGAGAACCGAGUGAGUGGAACAAAGUGGUGAAGAAGAUGCCACUGAGAAACAAGAUUUUAAGCCGGAAGAAGACUGCGUCAUACUGCGUACGUUCCGGAACACGGUGAAGACUUCUAGUACUUUCCGCCUAACCUGCCCGGGCGAAUCUCGUGGGUGCCUGCUUAAAGGUUCUCGGCAAUUUCACAGUGCUACACGAUUGAAAAAUUCCUGAAUAAAUACCCGGACGCCACCCUGCUGGACGUUACCCGCAAGGAGAAGCGCCUGUCGAGCGCCAUGACGAAAAUUUGAUGCAAAUCAUGGUCGAAACACCACGCAGAAAAAUUAGGCCUAUUUGAAUCAUCAAAAUAUUUUGUUGUUUCAAGUUAACGAUUUUUUGUUGAAAUAAAUCUCAAAACCAAUUGAAACAACUCUAAAUUUAGAGUUGAAUUUACUCUGUGUUUUUUGUCAAUUCGUUUUGGAAAUAUUAACAAAAUUAUUGCGUUGAUUCUACCAUGAACGACGUUGAAUCAACUUUAAUGUGUUUUUUGAUUCAAAUGAAAUUAAUUGAUAUUCACACGUGUUGCUAUCUGUCAAAAUGUUCAGUUUUCCUGAUUUUGAUCAGUGGCGAAGUUCGUUUAAUUCGUGCCGUGCGGCAAUUACGUUCGUGGUAUUUCAUCCAUGUAUUACGCCUGCCGUGAGCAAAGUUUUACGUGAGAAGUUAGAGCGCGGAAUUCGGGGUGAUUUGAUCGCCACCCAACUAAGCCAACUCAUCAUCGACAAGCGGAAGCUGCCACCAAGUUUAGCAGACUUCACAAAAUUCCCCAACAUAUCAACCCUCUACGGAACAUGACCGACCUCUGCAGAAAACAACGUAACCUCGAUCCACCGGGGACGCCAAUGGCAACAUGGCCAAUUCAACAUGGAAGGCAAUUUCACCAACUCGUUGUUUCAUCAGACGGUGGCGGAGGCAAGGACACAAGGUGCGGUUCAGCAGUACUCGGACAGAACAAGGGGAAACACUCUAAGUAGCAGAUUUAAAAAUAUAUUUUUCCAAUAAAAAAUGCUAAUAUCGAUGAA
Long non-coding RNA from Culex quinquefasciatus (southern house mosquito), 1180 nucleotides. RefSeq lists it as uncharacterized. Lineage: Eukaryota; Metazoa; Arthropoda; Insecta; Diptera; Culicidae. The record is from RefSeq and is a predicted model, not a curated record. The transcript has 2 exons.